This 254-nucleotide unclassified non-coding RNA is filed under the name uncultured Acidimicrobiia bacterium. Its description in RNAcentral is "contains 16S-23S intergenic spacer region". It matches the Rfam family "Bacterial small subunit ribosomal RNA", at positions 524 to 776 of the family's 1533-position model. The record is from RNAcentral. Lineage: Bacteria; Bacillati; Actinomycetota; Acidimicrobiia.
CACGUAGGCACCAAGCGUUGUCCGGAAUUAUUGGGCGUAAAGAGCUCGUAGGCGGUUCAGCAAGUCGGGUGUGAAAACUCUGGGCUCAACCCAGAGAUUGCACUCGAUACUGCUGUGACUAGAGUACGGUAGGGGAGCGGGGAAUUCCUGGUGUAGCGGUGAAAUGCGCAGAUAUCAGGAGGAACACCAGUGGCGAAGGCGCCGCUCUGGGCCGUGACUGACGCUGAGGAGCGAAAGCGUGGGUAGCAAACAGG